AGCAGUAGCCGCGGUAAUACGUAGGUGGCAAGCGUUGUCCGGAAUUAUUGGGCGUAAAGGGCUCGCAGGCGGUUUCUUAAGUCUGAUGUGAAAGCCCCCGGCUCAACCGGGGAGGGUCAUUGGAAACUGGGAAACUUGAGUGCAGAAGAGGAGAGUGGAAUUCCACGUGUAGCGGUGAAAUGCGUAGAGAUGUGGAGGAACACCAGUGGCGAAGGCGACUCUCUGGUCUGUAACUGACGCUGAGGAGCGAAAGCGUGGGGAGCGAACAGGAUUAGAUACUGUAGUCCCUGUCUCUUAUACACA
Molecule: ribosomal RNA, 303 nt
Filed under: uncultured bacterium
Lineage: Bacteria
Description: partial 16S ribosomal RNA
Rfam family: Bacterial small subunit ribosomal RNA
Source: RNAcentral